This 429-nucleotide ribosomal RNA is filed under the name Acidobacteriota bacterium. RNAcentral describes it as "Acidobacteria bacterium partial 16S ribosomal RNA". It matches the Rfam family "Bacterial small subunit ribosomal RNA", at positions 355 to 776 of the family's 1533-position model. Lineage: Bacteria; Pseudomonadati; Acidobacteriota. The record is from RNAcentral.
UGGGGAAUUUUGGACAAUGGGGGAAACCCUGAUCCAGCCAUCCCGCGUGUGCGAUGAAGGCCUUCGGGUUGUAAAGCACUUUUGGCAGGAAAGAAACGUCAUGGGUUAAUACCCCGUGAAACUGACGGUACCUGCAGAAUAAGCACCGGCUAACUACGUGCCAGCAGCCGCGGUAAUACGUAGGGUGCAAGCGUUAAUCGGAAUUACUGGGCGUAAAGCGUGCGCAGGCGGUUCGGAAAGAAAGAUGUGAAAUCCCAGAGCUCAACUUUGGAACUGCCUUUUUAACUACCGGGCUUGAGUGUGUCAGAGGGGGGUGGAAUUCCGCGUUUAGCAGUGAAAUGCGUAGAUAUGCGGAGGAACACCGAUGGCGAAGGCAGCCUCCUGGGAUAACACUGACGCUCAUGCACGAAAGCGUGGGGAGCUAACGGG